AAAUUGAAGAGUUUGAUCAUGGCUCAGAUUGAACGCUGGCGGCAGGCCUAACACAUGCAAGUCGAACGGUAACAGGAAGAAGCUUGCUUCUUUGCUGACGAGUGGCGGACGGGUGAGUAAUGUCUGGGAAACUGCCCGAUGGAGGGGGAUAACUACUGGAAACGGUAGCUAAUACCGCAUAACGUCGCAAGACCAAAGAGGGGGACCUUCGGGCCUCUUGCCAUCGGAUGUGCCCAGAUGGGAUUAGCUAGUAGGUGGGGUAACGGCUCACC
Molecule: ribosomal RNA, 272 nt
Filed under: Escherichia albertii
Lineage: Bacteria; Pseudomonadati; Pseudomonadota; Gammaproteobacteria; Enterobacterales; Enterobacteriaceae
Description: partial 16S ribosomal RNA
Rfam family: Bacterial small subunit ribosomal RNA
Source: RNAcentral